CUUUACCACGGAGCCAUAUCCACAGUCCUUUUUAUUUUUCAUUUUGAGAUAGGGUCUUGCUAAGUUGCUGAGGCUGGCCUCGGACUUGCGAUCCUCCUGUCUCAGUCUUCUGAGUUGCUGGGUUACAUUCAUAGGCCACAAUGCCUGGCUAAUUUUGUCUUUUUCUGACUUUUUGAGAUGGCUGCAUAAUCAUCAGUGAUUUAAAAAAAAAUUCUGGUGCAAUUUUAAUUUUAGUUCAUUUAACCUGACCAAAUUUAUGCUUUUUUGAACUAUAUUUUUUCUAGUAUUUUGCGUUGUGGUAAGAUACUAUCUUAACCAUUUUUACGUGUACAGUUCAACGACGUUAAGCACAUUCAUAUUAUUGUGCAGCUACCACCAUCAUCCAUUUCUCAAACAAACUCUUUCUUGAGAAUUCAAAUUGUAAAAUGAAACUCUGUACCCAUGAAAUAAUAAUUCUCCAUUCUCCCUCCCCACAAGCCCCAUUGAUUUUGACUGUUCUAAAUACUUCAUAAAAGUGGAAUCAUAUAAUAUUUGCCUUUUUUAUGAUUAUUUCACUUGGUGUAAUGUCCCCAGGGUUCAUCCAUGUUGCAGCAUGUGUUGGAAUGCCCUUCCUUUGAACAAUGAUUGUCCUUCUAGUGAUUGAACAAUGUUCCAGUUAAUGUGAAUAACACAUUUUGCUUAUCCAUUUAUCUAUUAAUGAGCACUUGGGUUGCUUCCACAUUUUAGUUCUUGUGAAUAACACUGCUAAGAACAUGAAUUAACAUGUAUCUCUUCAAAUACCUGCUUGCAUUCCUUUUGAGCGUAUACCAGAAGUGGAAUGGCUGAAUCAUAUAUGGUCAUUCUAUUAGUAAUUUUUUGAUGAACUACCAUACUAUUAUAUAUGGCGGCUAUACCAUUUUUCAUUCUGACCAACAAUGCACAAGAAUUCCAAUUUCUCUACAUCUUGCCAACACUAUUUUCUGUUUGUUUUUUUUUUUUCUUUUGGUGGG
RNAcentral lists this long non-coding RNA (989 nucleotides) under Marmota monax (woodchuck). The record is from RNAcentral. Lineage: Eukaryota; Metazoa; Chordata; Mammalia; Rodentia; Sciuridae.